UGAUCCUGCCAGUAGUCAUAUGCUUGUCUCAAAGAUUAACCCAUGCAUGUGUAAGUAUAGUACCUACAGCGAAACUGCGAAUGGCUCAUUAAAUCAGUUAUAGUUUAUUUGAUGGAUACAGAUAUGGAUAACCGUAGUAAUUCUAGAGCUAAUACAUGCUUGAAAGCCUGACUCACGAAGGGCUGCAUUUAUUABAUAAAGCCAGCAUUUAGGUGAUUCAUAAUAACUUAGCGAAUCGCGGAAUUUCUGCGAUAAAUCAUUCAAGUAUCUGCCCUAUCAGCUCUGAUGGUAGUGUAUUGGACUACCAUGGCUUUAACGGGUAACGGAGAAUUAGGGUUCGGUUCCGGAGAAAGAGCCUGAGAAACGGCUAUUACAUCUAAGGACGGCAGCAGGGGCGUAAAUUACCCAAUCUUAACUUAAGGAGGUAGUGACAAGAAAUAUCGACAUUGGAGAAAUCCAAGAUCGGAAUGGGCUUAAUUUAAAUCCCUAAGUGAGUAACCAUUGGAGGGCAAGUCUGGUU
Molecule: ribosomal RNA, 520 nt
Filed under: uncultured eukaryote
Lineage: Eukaryota
Description: SSU rRNA
Rfam family: Eukaryotic small subunit ribosomal RNA
Source: RNAcentral